CCGGUCCGCCUCACCGCGUGCACUGGUCCGGCCGGGCCUUUCCCUCUGUGGAACCGCAUGCCCUUCACUGGGUGUGCCGGGGAAAAAGGACUUUUACUUUGAAAAAAUUAGAGGCCCCCCGCCAGCCCUUUGCUCGAAAACCUUUCCCUGGGAAUAAUAGAAUAGGACGUGUGGUUCUAUUUUGUUGGGUUUCUAGGACCGCCGUUAUGAUUAAUAGGGACAGUCGGGGGCAUCAGUAUUCAAUUGUCAGAGGUGAAAUUCUUGGAUUUAUUGAAGACUAACUACUGCGAAAGCAUUUGCCAAGGAUGUUUCCAUUUUUCAGGAACGAAAGUUAGGGGAUCGAAGACGAUCAGAUACCGUCGUAGUCUUAACCAUAAACUAUGCCGACUAGGGAUCGGACGAUGUUAUUUUUUGACUCGUUCGGCACCUUACGAGAAAUCAAAGUGCUUGGGCUCCAGGGGGAGUAUGGUCGCAAGGCUGAAACUUAAAGAAAUUGACGGAAGGGCACCACCAGGGGUGGAGCCUGCGGCUU
This 532-nucleotide ribosomal RNA is filed under the name Colletotrichum aenigma. RNAcentral describes it as "SSU rRNA". It matches the Rfam family "Eukaryotic small subunit ribosomal RNA", at positions 722 to 1191 of the family's 1831-position model. Lineage: Eukaryota; Fungi; Ascomycota; Sordariomycetes; Glomerellales; Glomerellaceae. The record is from RNAcentral.